CCAGUGCCUGUAGGGAAGGGAGAGAGGAGGAGCAUGUGGACAGGUCCUAGGCAGCAGCCUCCAGGCCAGGAUGCUCCAGGGGGAACGAGUUAGGUCCCAAGGGGGCUCUCAUAACAACCCCGAGUCUUGAGUUUUGGAUGCCAGAAUUGAAAGGGUGGCGUGUGAGGAACCACCCAAGGCCAGGCAGUCUCACAGCUCCUGAGGUUCGGGCUGGAUUCAAGCCAGGCAAACCUCACAACCUACCGUGUCUCUGUCUCUUUCUCCCUAAGUGUCUCUACCUCUCACCCCUCCCUCCCUCCAUCCCUCCAACCACCCCUCCAUCCACCCUUGUAGGGAGAGGAGACCAGGACGCUGCAGAUCGUGAACAGCGAUGGAAGCGAGCUGCAGAGAGGUACAAAGAUACCCCCCACCCCGUUAGGCACCAGUGAGGAACUUCCAAGCACUGUAGAGGUCCUGCGACCCAGCACCAGCUGACGUGACAGCUCAUCACAUGCCAGGCACUACGCUGCUACUUAACUCUUUCCACGGCAGCAACUUGUGCCCUUCUCCUGAAUCCCUGUGUCACGGAGAGGCUAAGCAGCGCGGCCAAGGAAUAACCACAGAAGUCCUUGCCAUCAGCCCCACUGUCUCAAGAAGGGCCGAGAGGGGCUGGAGCCGGUCCCUAGUGAAGCGGAGGGGCUGUCGCUGCAGCUGGCCUUCGCUCUGAGGUGGUGCGUCUAUUGUUAGCUCAGUCCCUGUGCUUUGGAUCCUGUACUCCUGAGGACCAUUCCUCACCAGCUUCCGCCCAGGCCAUGCUUCCCCAAUGCCGCUCUCAGCUAAGCCAUGCUUAGCUGAGGUUCCCUCAGUUCCCGCCUCUCCAAGCCGCCUUCCUUCCCAGUGGGUGACAGUUGAGUCUCCUUCCCUCCAGGACUCCAGGGAGAUCAUUCUGAGGCUCGGGGAAGGAGAAACCAAAGCUUAGAAGUUUAAAACAAACUUGCCAAGAUGACAUAGCUCUCUGCGCAUUAGUAAAGCGGGAUUUCCAGCCUCUGUCUGCUCCACUCCAGGAAGAGGCAAAGACAAAAACAGCGGUCGGUCGGUGUACAGGAGGCAGCGGCAGGCAGGUGCCUGGGAGUUCCAGGCCAACCUGCUCUACACAGCAGCUUCCAGGCUAGCCAGGGCUACACAGGGAGAUCCUGUCAGAUGAGAGACGGACCUAGCCUAGCCUGAGCUGCUAGUGUAGAGGGAUUGGCUGGUGGUCCCAGUACUUGGAAGACGGGAGCAGGAGACUCACCAAGAGUAACAGAAUAAAACAAAAACAGCCAAACCUGAAAAAAGUUACAAGACAGCCUGGGCUGCAGAGUGAGACCCUACCUCAACACACGUGCACGCGCGCGCGCACACGCACACACGCGCGCACACACACACACACACCACACCAUACAAACAAAACAAAACAGAAAAUGAAGAAAAGUGUGAAAGGCACUAAGUUGGGAUGAUGUCCUGGUAUGAAAACUCCUGACUGAGGGCCAUAGACCUGGUCAAGGGACUGUGGGCUAACUGUGGACAGUGCAGAUUAAAACAGAGUGAGACAGGGGGCUUUGGGGUGUGUGCUUUUGAUUUGCUCUCUCUGCUACGAAUUUACACAGACACCUUGGUAAAUUCUGCCCCUAGGGACUGGAGCUACAGCUCAGUGGUUGUCUAGCAUU
Peromyscus maniculatus bairdii (prairie deer mouse) is the source of this 1685-nucleotide non-coding RNA. Lineage: Eukaryota; Metazoa; Chordata; Mammalia; Rodentia; Cricetidae. The record is from RefSeq and is a predicted model, not a curated record.